Molecule: long non-coding RNA, 1879 nt
Organism: Wyeomyia smithii (pitcher-plant mosquito)
Lineage: Eukaryota; Metazoa; Arthropoda; Insecta; Diptera; Culicidae
Exons: 3
Source: RefSeq, a predicted model, not a curated record
GUAAGUUUGAUACUGAGUAGACCCCUUUCUUGGAUUUUUAACUUUAGAGCAGAAUUUUAUUUUGUAUCAUGCACAAUUUGAGCUCAAUUCCACUUCAAAAAAUAGGGCUUCGGAGUGGCCAAAGCUUUACAUUUGAUCGAUUGAAAAAGGUUAUGGUUUAUGAAAUUUUCCGAAAACGAAAUGUAUUAGACAUUGAUUCUACUUUCUGUGGCUUUGAAAAUUUUGCGACUGUCUAUGAAAUGUAUGGGAAAGUCGGGUUUUUCUCAAAAAAGGUAUGACACCUGAUCCUGACGUUUCAUUCCUUUCUAAGAUAUUCACCCUUAUUCUUGUUUACGGCCGUAUUGCUUUCGUACGAAAGCAGCAGCGGCGUACGAAUGCGAUACGAACACAUACGAAUCCGAUUCGUUCUAACCAAUUCGAGCUUUCGAACAUCAUUGCUUUCGUACGAACGUGUCAUUCUUGUUUACGUACGUAUGCGUAUCCGUAUUCUUUUUGUUCUCGUUCGCAAACGUCAGUCAAAAGUUGCGAAGCGCUGUACGCAAUGAGCAUAAAACUCAUAAUAAAACUUUAUACUCAUUGCGCUGUACGUAUCGCUUUACGAAUCGCCGGCGCCGGUAGUUUUUUCUCGUUUUUCUGCUGUUUUGUAAAUUGUUUUUUUUUUUUUUUUUUUUUUUGUUAAAUCGAAUAAGCCGAAGAAGAUUUGUUUUUUAGUGAACUGUUGAAUAAAAAACUUUUGUGCAACUCGAUUUGCUAAAAUGAAAAGGCAAUCGAAAGUUGUGAAUCGCCAUCGCCGCGGGUUGUUUUGGUUGUUUCGUGUGAAGCAAAUCGGAUAAAUUGGACAAAGUCUUUUCUAGUGAAGUGUUGAAUGAUGAAAAAAUUUGCUGAAAUCGUUGCCGGAUAUUUGAAUCGUUUUGUUAGUGCUAUCAGCAAUAUCCUUUAAGCCAGUAAACUUAGUUGAAACGUCAUACUAGAUUAUUCCCCCACGAAAACGGCGAAUGUUUAUACGUUUAACCCAACGAACAAGCAAAGUUGUUGCAUCACUGAUUUACGAUGGCUUAUUAAAAUUUACAAGGCAGGUCUAAUAAGCAAAAAGACCUAUUUCAGUGAUCAGGAUGCAGGACCGUUGGCGACACCGAAAUUAUUACAAAAAGAUCCAGCACUGAUUGAAAUACCUCCAAGUACGUCGAUCACACCAAUAUCAACGUUUUAUGGGGACCAUUGCCGAAGGAGCUGAUUAUAGCGGAAUGUACCGCUAAUUGUUACAAUUCUCAAAAAAUUGUGAGGAUAUUCCGGCUUGUUUGGUUUGCUGACGAAACCUGCCAUUCGUUUGUUGGGUGUUGACUGGUGGCGCAUUUCAGACAGACAGGGCUUUGAUUUUGAUAAGGAUACAAAAUAAUUACAGACGGUGAAAAACAGUAUGCCAUCUAACGUGCCACCCACCAUGCCAAUCACAGUUUGUUCAUAUUCAUAAAAGGACCACCACCCAUGAACGGCAUUGUCGAAGACAAUUUUUUAAAAUAACGACUUUUACGACUUGGUUACCAAUCAAAUUGAAAAUCGUGGAACAAUUUUAUCGAUAACAGUGGUGGUGGCGGCUUUGGUAGUGGUCGGCGCCACUAAAGCAACUGGAUGAACAAUUAUCGUUGAGGCCUCCGAAGUAGCAACUACCGGCCACUAUGGCUAUCAACCAUUAUUCUGCUUGUUAUAGAGCAUAUUUUUCAUAGAGCAUAAUAUAACAGCGCUUAGUAUAUAAGAUGAACUAUGCCAAAUGAGCUAACGUCGAAUAUCGACCAUUCUUGGUUUAAAUUAAACUUUACUCACGUUUGAAUAACUUAAAAAAAGCUCAUGUGUCAUUUUUGACUAACAAAAUUCUUAAUAA